CCGAGACAUUCCUGCAAAUCCAUGUUAGUAAAUAAAUACAAAAACCAACAACAUAAAGCAUAAACUUGAAUUAAAACUGUAAUAGUAAUUGCUAUUAAAAUUGAAAACAAAAUCUUGAAAGGAAAAAUUUAUACAUUACAACAUAGAAUUAUUUUCUACCAAAAGAAAAUAUAAAAAAAUUUCUAGAUGUUUGCCUCUCCAUGAGUCUUGAAGCUCUAAACACAAGUUUAACAUUCAUAAACCAUAGAUUCUACCUGUAUGAAUAUGAAGCUAUUCUCAUGAGGAAGUAUUAAAAGUCAUUUUAACCUGUACAAAUAUAUAAAUACGUUAUAAAUAUAUAAGAACACGAUAAGAGCAGACCUACCAUGAAUGACGUAUGAUAUCCAUGGAUAAUUUGUCCUUGAAAUGAUUCUGGAUAUGACUGGAAUUGUUUUUGGGGAAAAAAAAGGUACAAUUUAUUAGACAAAUAUAUGGAGGUAGAUGAAAAUAAAUUUUAAUAAAUACAUAACAUAAAGUAUCAAGAGAAGAAUUUACCAUUAUGAAAGUUGUACUAACUAGUGGUGAUAUGCUUCUAGAUUCCAAUUCAACAGCUUGAAUUAUACAUCAAAU
RNAcentral lists this long non-coding RNA (609 nucleotides) under Solanum lycopersicum (tomato). Its description in RNAcentral is "long non-coding RNA (SLYC_LNC000523)". Lineage: Eukaryota; Viridiplantae; Streptophyta; Magnoliopsida; Solanales; Solanaceae. The record is from RNAcentral.